Molecule: long non-coding RNA, 448 nt
Organism: Numida meleagris (helmeted guineafowl)
Lineage: Eukaryota; Metazoa; Chordata; Aves; Galliformes; Numididae
Source: Ensembl
AAAUACUCAGCUCUUAUUAGUCCUGACUGAUGACUGGAUUAGUAAACUGAUUAUACUGCAAGCUGCUGAAAUGGUUUGUAGAUGUUACAAAUGCCUUUGGAUCCAGACAGAGCGAUAAUGACUUUGAGCAUAGAAGUGGACUUGCAGCUGGAUUCUCAGGAGAGCUUUCUACUCUGGCACAACUUGAGAACAGAAAUCUAUUAAGCUGAGCUCAGGUUUUUAAAAGAAAAUUAUCAGGGAGCUGCAUUACAGAAUCAUGUUGCGUUUCUUCAGCUUUAAAACCAUCACUCUGGGCUACUUUGAGAUGUCAGCUGUGAAGACUGUAACAACCUCAGGCAGAAGGAUUCAUUCCACUAAGAAUGCUGGCAAUCAGCAACAAGAAAGACCUUCCAGAAAACAUACAAAAUUCAUGAUUUUAUUAAUUCAUAGUGUAAUUCAAGUAUUUAGC